GAAAUGCGAUAACUAAUGUGAAUUGCAGAUCACGUGAAUCAUCGAGUCUUUGAACGCAUCUUGCACUCUGUGGUAUUCCGCAGAGUACGCUUGUUUGAGUAUCAGUUUUACCCCUCAAACUUCGGUUUGGAUCUGAGCUAUGUGUUGCAAAGCACUGGCUUAAAAUUGAUCUGGCUUUGCUUUUGAUUGGCCAAGGCGAGAUAGUAGGCUUUGCCUUCUUCUAGCUGAGAGUUGAUCUUGAGAUUGGAGCCAUUAAACCCAACUCCUCAGCUUAACGGCUGUGAACUUGAUCUCAAAUCAAGCGAGACUACCCGCUGAACUUCAGC
RNAcentral lists this unclassified non-coding RNA (326 nucleotides) under plant metagenome. RNAcentral's name for it is "partial contains 5.8S ribosomal RNA, internal transcribed spacer 2, and large subunit ribosomal RNA". The stretch from base 1 to 104 matches the Rfam family "5.8S ribosomal RNA", at positions 50 to 154 of the family's 154-position model. The record is from RNAcentral.